This is a long non-coding RNA of Drosophila innubila, 496 nucleotides long. RefSeq lists it as uncharacterized. Lineage: Eukaryota; Metazoa; Arthropoda; Insecta; Diptera; Drosophilidae. The transcript has 3 exons. The record is from RefSeq and is a predicted model, not a curated record.
AUUUGGGUCAUUAAUAUUUUACAGUUCAAACAGUACACAUCUCUACAUUAUAUUUGUGCAUAUUUGUGAUUGUUUUCAGGCAUGUGCCAGUAUUUUUUGUAGUAAACCAUAAGGUGCAUCGGCUGUGUGGAGCUUUGUAAGUAUCCGGCUUGAAAAUAGCCACAAGAUCUAAAAAAAACCACGAGCUGUUUGCAUAAAGGAAAGGUGCUUGUUUCCGUGAAGAAGUUAACAUAAAGUAACUACAGUCUCUUAUCAAGAUGUGCUAUCCGUGCUACUCGUGUUGCAGCCCAUGCUGCACACCUUGUUGCAGCCCCUGCUGCUACUCCUCUUGCUGUUCACCAUGUUGUGGACCAUGUGGAUAUUGCUGUAGUGGCUGCGGACCUUGCUGUGGCGGCUGUGGACCUUGUUGUUAACUCAAUCUUCAGAACGAAAUGAAGUGCUACUGCAGUACUAAAAUAUGCCGACAUAUAAAUUAAAACAUGUAGAUUUUAAUAAA